Molecule: long non-coding RNA, 892 nt
Organism: Papaver somniferum (opium poppy)
Lineage: Eukaryota; Viridiplantae; Streptophyta; Magnoliopsida; Ranunculales; Papaveraceae
Exons: 4
Source: RefSeq, a predicted model, not a curated record
AAAAAAAAAAAAUACUAAAAUUCAGCAGUUCCUUAUUCGCAUUCAAAAUCCUUAUCAUGAACCAAAAAGGAGCACUAGAUUCAAACAAAACCAGUUCCAAUCAACCAGUAUGAUUAGAUAUAUGAAAAUAAAUCGAUGAAUUUGACGACUUAUUCAAAAUCAAACAAAACCAGUUCUAGGGUUUAUAAAGCUUGAAGCAUCUCUCUCAUGGCAGGUUCAUUGGCAAUUCAUUUUCAUUUUUUAUGUAGAUAUCUAGCCGAUAUAUAGUUUGAUUUGAAUUUGAGUUUACAAGGAAGGACCCAAACGGUUGUCGUUCGAUUAAUGAACUGUGAAGCCUAAGGUGUGUUUUGAGGUUUGGGAAAGAUGGGUCAGAAAUGUAUUUUGAAUUUGAGAAGGAUGCAGGGAGAAUAAGUACAAGUUUGUAUCAAAAAAGAAAAAAACAAUGAACAGAUGCUGGUAUCGAGAUUUGAUUGAGAUAAUAAGUUGGGUCAAGUUGGAGACAUUCAUUUGGAUAUCAGUAGAGCCUUGCAAAAAUGGGAGCCUGGCCUGCGUCCAUACCUCAAAACUGGUUUCAAACUUUGGGUUUCUGGAAGAACAAGAUGAAGUGAAAGAUUUAUGGUUGCCCAAGUAAAGACGCACGGAUAUUGAUUCAAAACUCGAAACUGCUAAUGAUUUUCUAAAGGUGUACAUGAAAGGUACGAAACUUAGUUGCUGGUGGUGGCCAUUGAUCUAUGCUGGCUGAUUCAUGUUCCUAGAAAGAGUUGUUUGAAUUCAGCCUUGCUGACUGUGCGACUCCCUCAAAUGUGCCUGUGAUAAGUUGUGUACAUCUUAACAAAGAAUAUCAUCAAAUAUAUAAGAGAAUCUUAUCUGUGUGUAACACAAAAAAAAAAAA